This 20-nucleotide transfer RNA is filed under the name Gadus morhua kildinensis. Its description in RNAcentral is "partial tRNA-Ala". Lineage: Eukaryota; Metazoa; Chordata; Actinopteri; Gadiformes; Gadidae. The record is from RNAcentral.
UAGUGUCCUGCAGAUCUUAU